This is a long non-coding RNA of Zonotrichia leucophrys gambelii, 427 nucleotides long. RefSeq lists it as uncharacterized. NCBI's taxonomy places the organism in Eukaryota, Metazoa, Chordata, Aves, Passeriformes, Passerellidae. The record is from RefSeq and is a predicted model, not a curated record. The transcript is spliced from 3 exons.
CUGAGUUACUACGUUAUUUAUGCUGAUAACCAUAGAAGAUUCUUAGUUAUGCUGCAGACCAAAUUUUCCGUGUGGUCAGGAAAGAUUAUAAACCAAGGAGCAAGAUUGUGCCAGGCCUGACACUGGAGUAUGAAACUCUCAUUGCAUUUAUGCUGGAAAUUUCAUUCAUGUGAAGAAAGAAAUGGGAAGAAGUAAAGUGAAAACAUCAAAAGUGGCAGUUGCAAAAUGGAACAUGGAAGCCAUAACACCUAUCACAGCACCACAGAAAUGGAAGAUAUGCCUAGUUCCUUGUCUUUUCUGGCAAUUGUGCACAAUACUUCAAAAUGACUCACAAUAUCAAAAAAAAAAAAAACCCUCAUUAUGAAGAAAAGCAAUGUCAGCCUUUGGAUUUCUGAGAAGGAAUUGCAAGAAAGGAAAUGAGGAAAAG